This 253-nucleotide ribosomal RNA is filed under the name uncultured bacterium. Its description in RNAcentral is "partial 16S ribosomal RNA". It matches the Rfam family "Bacterial small subunit ribosomal RNA", at positions 524 to 776 of the family's 1533-position model. The record is from RNAcentral.
UACGUGAGGGGCAAGCGUUGUCCGGAUUUAUUGGGCGUAAAGAGCGUGUAGGCGGUUUGGUAGGUCCGCUGUGAAAACUCGAGGCUCAACCUCGAGACGCCGGUGGAAACCAUCAGGCUAGAGUCCGGAAGAGGAGAGUGGAAUUCCUGGUGUAGCGGUGAAAUGCGCAGAUAUCAGGAAGAACACCCGUGGCUAAGGCGGCUCUCUAGUACGGUACUGACGCUGAGACGCGAAAGCGUGGGGAGCGAACAGG